AAGUACUUCUUUACUAUCCCAUACUGAACUCAAUUGUAUGGAAUGUAAAGAAGUAUGUAU
RNAcentral lists this microRNA precursor (60 nucleotides) under Branchiostoma floridae (Florida lancelet). RNAcentral's name for it is "Bfl-Mir-1_pre stem-loop". It matches the Rfam family "mir-1 microRNA precursor family", at positions 12 to 68 of the family's 79-position model. Rfam says of the family: This family represents the microRNA (miRNA) mir-1 family. miRNAs are transcribed as ~70nt precursors (modelled here) and subsequently processed by the Dicer enzyme to give a ~22nt product. In this case the mature sequence comes from the 3' arm of the precursor. RNAcentral also lists the same sequence under 1 other name. Lineage: Eukaryota; Metazoa; Chordata; Leptocardii; Amphioxiformes; Branchiostomatidae. The record is from RNAcentral.